This 253-nucleotide ribosomal RNA is filed under the name uncultured bacterium. Its description in RNAcentral is "partial 16S ribosomal RNA". It matches the Rfam family "Bacterial small subunit ribosomal RNA", at positions 524 to 776 of the family's 1533-position model. The record is from RNAcentral.
AACGUAGGAGACGAGCGUUAUCCGGAAUUACUGGGCGUAAAGCGCGUGUAGGCGGCUUUGCAAGUCGGGCGUGAAAUCCCACGGCUCAACCGUGGAAGUGCACUCGAAACUGCAGAGCUAGAGUCCUGGAGAGGAAGGUGGAAUGCUUGGUGUAGAGGUGAAAUUCGUAGAUAUCAAGCGGAACACCGGUGGCGAAGGCGGCCUUCUGGACAGUGACUGACGCUGAGACGCGAAAGCGUGGGGAGCAAACAGG